Triticum dicoccoides is the source of this 2376-nucleotide long non-coding RNA. RefSeq lists it as uncharacterized. The record is from RefSeq and is a predicted model, not a curated record. NCBI's taxonomy places the organism in Eukaryota, Viridiplantae, Streptophyta, Magnoliopsida, Poales, Poaceae. The transcript is spliced from 4 exons.
CUUGGCGCCCAUCCACGAGCUGGAGCAGCCGGAUGAGGACGACCCCAUCGAGACCGCCUCUUCCUCCGGCGACCACGCCACCCAGCGCCACCAGGACGCCGCCGCACCACCACCGAGCUUCCAGCUAUCCCCGUCCCAAUCCCCUCCUCCGGGCGGCCGCUCCUCGCGCACCACCAGAAGCAGCACAAGCGGACAGCAGCAGCUGCGCCCGCCUCCCGCCCACGCGAGCAGAAGUCGUGCUCGAUCCGGUCAAAGGUGAUAUUUUUACACGGGCGGUGGUGCUCGAUCCGUGCUGGAGCAGCGGGAGGAGGAUGGCGGCGCAGUGGUCUUCUGUUCUUCCCUGCUGUCGAGAAGCGCCCCCGGCCUGUUGACCCGCGCGCCCUCGUCCUGGCCGUGGCCGCUACCCGGGCUGCUCGCGAGGCGGCGCAACAUGUCGGGGUCGCCGACGACCCUGAGGAGGAAGAGGAGUGCUUGGUCCGGCGCUCCGGCCGUCUCCUGCACCCUGCCGCCAAGCUCCUCGGAGAUGCAUCUGAAUUUGUAUGAUGAGCUGUGAUCAAAUUCGCCCAUCAUAUUUGUCUCUGCUAAAAUUGAGCCUUGGGUUGCAUCUGAAUUCAGGUAGGCCGUAUGCAUCGUUCUGAUGCAGAGGCCGGGGAGUCCCCCCUUUUCGAAAAAAAAAUCUGAAUUCAGGUAGGCGACAAGUGUUCGACGAGUGCUGGCUGCAGUGCCGGGCAGUGGUGCUUCGACUGCGAGGCGAAGCUCGCCGGCUCGGCGGCUCCCACUGCGCCCGCUCCACCGCCACCAACCCCUUCCAACUCGUUGUCCCGGUUGGUACUGCCAGCAGCCUUGCCAGUCCAAGCAAUCAAGAUCAUCAGCAAGUCAAUAACGGAGACGGUCGAGCACUGUCAUCACACUGAACCUGCAACACCAGUGAGAUGACUGAAGAUUGGGUUGUGGUUGGAGUGAGAGGAGAAGCAAAUCACUUGACCAGUUGAAUCCUUACGGCCGAGCUGUGGCAGGUGAAGGAGCCACUGCCGCUGCCCGCGCCGAAGAAGUGCAACUGCUCCAUGGUGUUCACCCUCAAGGAGAUGGAGGAGGCCACCGGCAUGUUCAGGAGAACUUCCUCUUUGGUUUGAUACACAUACAUUAUUUAACUGUGAUUUAGAGUUAUGAUUAUUUGAUGUGGCGAACAUAGAAUCCUGCCUGCGCAUUUCUGUGAUUAUUUUGUACCCUGAACUCAAGUAAAUUAAGUUGCCUGUACCAAGUUGAGUAUUUAGUUCGAUGAGUAAUUUUCUGUCUGGAGAUGAUGAGCAGAGCAUAAAAAUGAUUGCUUAUCUGUAUACUGUUGUUGCUGUAGUUUAAAAGGCUCAAGAUCUUCUACUCACAUGCUUGUUUAUCUCACAUCUCUGAGCCAAAGUUAUCUCACAUGCUUGUUUAUUCAAUAUUUUUCUGACAUACGCGUAAUACAGAUGGCGUGCCCAAAGUGAAAUCUGACCGGAGACUUCGAAAGAUCAGAGGAGGGCUUAAGGACCUACAGUAUCAUGGUGAUUUCAUAUCAAAAUCGAGGAGUACUCCUGUUCAUUUGGAGAACUCAAACAGCAAUUGAUAUGCAUCAAAAUUGGGAUCAACAGUAGCAUGGGGCCUUAUCAUUCUGGUUUUUGGAUGACUUAGUUAAUCAAAUUCCUCAAUUGAGGAACACCUGAACUUGUCAUUCCGGUCUUGGGAUCAACAGUAGCAUAUGGACUUAUCAUUCUGGCUUUUGGAUGAUUUAGUUAAUCAAAUUGACAUCAAUUGACCUGUUUUUUGGAUCAAUUGCAGAUUCUCUUGAUUGGAGUGGAGAGGAGCAGAGACGAGAGGAGCAGCAGAAGUGGACAACGCAACGGCUGACUUUGAGCUCUUGAUUGGAGUGGGGGAGGCGGCCGACGAAGGAUCUGUGGCCAGCAGCGAAGGAUCCGAAGUUGUGGCGGAGCAGGCAGCCGGCGGGAAGGGCGGCCGGCGAGGGAGCUGCUGACCUUGGCGUGGAAGGGCGGCCGAUGAGGGAGCUGCAGACCGCGGCGGGGAAGGGCCGGCCGGCGAGGGAGCUGCGGACCGCGGCGGGGAAGGACGCCGGAUGAGCCCGGCGAAAGGGAGCAGCGACGGCGGAGAAGCCUGGCGUAGGGGAGGAGCGACGGAGGAAGAUGCCUCCCGAUGGAUUUCAAAUCGGGGGUAGUAUUGUACUUUCACACUAUUUCACCUGUUCGGAAUGAUGCCCCCAGCGACAAUUAUUUCGGAACGGAGGGAGUAGAUUUCAGAUGUGAUAAAGAAGCCAACAUAAUCUAUCAAAAUCGCACCCAUGGAGGCAAUAUUCCUUCCGCAAUCAAAUGAUGCAUCUAUAGUCAA